Small nucleolar RNA from Ailuropoda melanoleuca (giant panda), 89 nucleotides. Ensembl annotates it as small nucleolar RNA, C/D box 70. The record is from Ensembl. NCBI's taxonomy places the organism in Eukaryota, Metazoa, Chordata, Mammalia, Carnivora, Ursidae.
UUCAUUGUUGUCAAUGAUGUAUUCUUGUUGGAACUGAAUAUAUAUGAUCUAACUCAAAUAUUCGUCACUACCACUGAGACAACAAUGAA